ACGAAGAAUGAAGUGAUUAUCUCUGCAGGUCCUCCUGUUUUCAAGGAGACUUUGAAUAAAGCAGAAAUAAUGAGCACCUGAACCAAGGCAUCAACACGGGGCUGGAGAGGACUAGAAGCACUAAUAAAGUCCAAUCCACAGCUGUUAUUAAAACUGUAAGCGGGAGGAUAGAGGUCCUAUUUCAUGACUGAGGAGCUUUGGUGGAUACUACAGCCACACAUUUGGAUGGAAGGUAGACGACCGGAUAAUUCUUGUGCUCUGAAUGGAAGCAGUUUAUUGAGCUUCCUCCCACCCCAGUACAAUAAAUGAAGAGACUCACAAGAUUAAGGAGUGAUAAGAGUACACCGCUUCAAAAAAAAACAAAUCCUGUGCAAGGGGAAUAGUGAGCAAAUGAGGUCUGAUCCUUUCAAAGGCGGGAGACAGGAAUUCUGUUUGCAUGUUACCAGAGAUGUCCAAAUGCCUGUCACUUUUUCCUUAAUGUGGUAAGUAAUCACUCUUUCCUUUCAUUAGUACAUCCAUAGCAUUUACUAAGAACCACCUAAUUUCUUUACUCUUUAAUUAUGACUUCCCACACAUCUAUCAGCUGCCAGGGAUAUUGCAACUGCUAGUGCAUUCUCUUCCACUGUUCCCCUAUUCCCAUUCUCCACCAGUGGAAGUUUUAACAGCCACAUGGCUACU
Molecule: long non-coding RNA, 678 nt
Organism: Homo sapiens (human)
Lineage: Eukaryota; Metazoa; Chordata; Mammalia; Primates; Hominidae
Exons: 3
Source: RefSeq, a predicted model, not a curated record